RNAcentral lists this ribosomal RNA (1429 nucleotides) under bacterium NLAE-zl-P150. RNAcentral describes it as "16S ribosomal RNA". It matches the Rfam family "Bacterial small subunit ribosomal RNA". The record is from RNAcentral.
CAUGCAAGUCGAGCGAACGGACGAGAAGCUUGCUUCUCUGAUGUUAGCGGCGGACGGGUGAGUAACACGUGGAUAACCUACCUAUAAGACUGGGAUAACUUCGGGAAACCGGAGCUAAUACCGGAUAAUAUUUUGAACCGCAUGGUUCAAAAGUGAAAGACGGUCUUGCUGUCACUUAUAGAUGGAUCCGCGCUGCAUUAGCUAGUUGGUAAGGUAACGGCUUACCAAGGCAACGAUGCAUAGCCGACCUGAGAGGGUGAUCGGCCACACUGGAACUGAGACACGGUCCAGACUCCUACGGGAGGCAGCAGUAGGGAAUCUUCCGCAAUGGGCGAAAGCCUGACGGAGCAACGCCGCGUGAGUGAUGAAGGUCUUCGGAUCGUAAAACUCUGUUAUUAGGGAAGAACAUAUGUGUAAGUAACUGUGCACAUCUUGACGGUACCUAAUCAGAAAGCCACGGCUAACUACGUGCCAGCAGCCGCGGUAAUACGUAGGUGGCAAGCGUUAUCCGGAAUUAUUGGGCGUAAAGCGCGCGUAGGCGGUUUUUUAAGUCUGAUGUGAAAGCCCACGGCUCAACCGUGGAGGGUCAUUGGAAACUGGAAAACUUGAGUGCAGAAAGAGGAAAGUGGAAUUCCCAUGUGUAGCGGNUGAAAAUGCGCAGAGAUAUGGAGGAACCACCAGUGGCGAAGGCGACUUUCUUGGUCUGUAACUGACGCUGAUGUGCGAAAGCGUGGGGAUCAAAACAGGAUUAGAUACCCUGGUAGUCCACGCCGUAAACGAUGAGUGCUAAGUGUUAGGGGGUUUCCGCCCCUUAGUGCUGCAGCUAACGCAUUAAGCACUCCGCCUGGGGAGUACGACCGCAAGGUUGAAACUCAAAGGAAUUGACGGGGACCCGCACAAGCGGUGGAGCAUGUGGUUUAAUUCGAAGCAACGCGAAGAACCUUACCAAAUCUUGACAUCCUUUGACAACUCUAGAGAUAGAGCCUUCCCCUUCGGGGGACAAAGUGACAGGUGGUGCAUGGUUGUCGUCAGCUCGUGUCGUGAGAUGUUGGGUUAAGUCCCGCAACGAGCGCAACCCUUAAGCUUAGUUGCCAUCAUUAAGUUGGGCACUCUAAGUUGACUGCCGGUGACAAACCGGAGGAAGGUGGGGAUGACGUCAAAUCAUCAUGCCCCUUAUGAUUUGGGCUACACACGUGCUACAAUGGACAAUACAAAGGGCAGCGAAACCGCGAGGUCAAGCAAAUCCCAUAAAGUUGUUCUCAGUUCGGAUUGUAGUCUGCAACUCGACUACAUGAAGCUGGAAUCGCUAGUAAUCGUAGAUCAGCAUGCUACGGUGAAUACGUUCCCGGGUCUUGUACACACCGCCAGUCACACCACGAGAGUUUGUAACACCCGAAGCCGGUGGAGUAACCUUUUAGGAGCUAGCCUC